GAUGAAGAACGUAGUGAAAUGUGAUACGUAGUGUGAAUUGCAGAAUUCAGUGAAUCAUCGAAUGUUUGAACGCACAUUGCACCUCUCGGUAUUCCGGGAGGUAUGCCUGUUCGAGCGUCAUUUGUACCCUCAAGCACUGCUUGGUGUUGGGUGUUUGUUCCGCCUCUGUGUGUGAACUCGCCUCAAAACAAUUGGCAGCCGGCGUACUUGUUUCGGAGCGCAGCACAUUUUGCGAUCCAGAUCAACGUACAGCGGCAUCCAAGAAGCCUUAUUUAACGCUCUUGACCUCGGAUCAGGUAGGGAUACCCGCUGAACUUAAGCAUAUCAAUAAGCGGAGGA
This 339-nucleotide unclassified non-coding RNA is filed under the name soil metagenome. RNAcentral describes it as "partial contains 5.8S ribosomal RNA, internal transcribed spacer 2, and large subunit ribosomal RNA". The stretch from base 1 to 120 matches the Rfam family "5.8S ribosomal RNA", at positions 35 to 154 of the family's 154-position model. The record is from RNAcentral.